GAGGAAUAUUGGACAAUGGGUGAGAGCCUGAUCCAGCCAUCCCGCGUGAAGGACGACGGUUCUAUGGAUUGUAAACUUCUUUUGUACAGGGAUAAACCUACCCUCGUGAGGGUAGCUGAAGGUACUGUACGAAUAAGCACCGGCUAACUCCGUGCCAGCAGCCGCGGUAAUACGGAGGGUGCAAGCGUUAUCCGGAUUUAUUGGGUUUAAAGGGUCCGUAGGCGGGCUUAUAAGUCAGUGGUGAAAGCCGGCAGCUUAACUGUCGAACUGCCAUUGAUACUGUAAGUCUUGAGUGUAUUUGAAGUGGCUGGAAUAAGUAGUGUAGCGGUGAAAUGCAUAGAUAUUACUUAGAACACCAAUUGCGAAGGCAGGUCACUAAGAUACAACUGACGCUGAUGGACGAAAGCGUGGGGAGCGAAC
This 420-nucleotide ribosomal RNA is filed under the name uncultured bacterium. RNAcentral's name for it is "bacterial SSU rRNA". It matches the Rfam family "Bacterial small subunit ribosomal RNA", at positions 356 to 773 of the family's 1533-position model. The record is from RNAcentral.